CGAACCAUUAUGCCUAUUCUUCUCAAAACCCUCUAGCUUUUCUCUCUUCCUCGAACCCUAUUCUUCUCAAAACCCCUGAUCUUCUCUCUAUCCCUCGAACCCUAUUUGAUCUCUCUCUCAAACCCUCGCGAUUUCACAUCUCUCUCUGGAGCCCUCUUUGCUCUCAUUGUCCCUCUCUCAAGCCCUAUUCGCCUCGCUGUCCCUCUCCCGAGCCCUCUUCACUGUCGCUGUCCCUCUCUCAAACCCUUGCUUCUUCCCCCUUUCUCUCUCGAACUGUCGUCGCAUAAUAACACAGCAAUGUCGUUGUCCUUCGUUGAUGAAGCAAUCACCUUCAUCGUUCGUUUCGGAGUCGUAGUUCGACGCUGAGAGAGUACCUUCAUCCACCCUAGGUUCGUGAUAAUACUCCAGGAGCGGGAAGGGUUCGGAGAGGAGUGAAAAAUAGGAAGAUUGUUCGGUGAGAAAUGCGAAUUAGGUCACGUGUUCGGUGGAAAAGGAAGAUUCAACGGCUGAAUCGGUGAAAUGGUGCAAAAAUGAGGAUGUAAUCGGUGGAUUCGAUGGAGAAGGCUAUAGUGAUUUAUCAGAAAAUAUUCCGGAAUUUAUGUUCUUUCUCUUCUCUUCGACAUUUAUGUAAAUGUUUUUGUGCAGGUUCAAGAAGUGUACGAAAUUUCAGCUGAGUAUGAAGAAAAGCGUGACCCUAAGAAACUGGAAGAAUUUGGAAAUAUGAUAACUAGUUUGGAUGCAGGGGACUCUAUUGUUGUUGCCAUGUCCUUUUCGCACAUGCUUAACUUGGCCAACUUGGCUGAGGAGGUCCAGAUUUCUCGUCGUCGAAGGAAAAAGGUGAAGAAAGGACAUUUUGCAGAUGAGAACAAUGCAACUACAGAUGAAAUCAAGAGGACCCCCCUAAGACCACAAGAUGAGCUGAGACCAGGGAUGAGCUACUUCCAUGAAACAAUUUGGAAUGGUGUUUCCAGAUUUCAUCAAGCAAUCUGCUUAGCGAGGAAGGUUCAUGUGAGGAUAUAAGCUCUGAUGGUACAUAUAAAAUUGUCAUUGAAACAGUCAUGCCUCGGAUUUAUUUGAGAAGAAAGAGAUGUGGCCUUGUGAAGCUUGUGGGUUGAACAUUCCUUAUAAGAUGUUAAAGAAGAAAAAGGAUUUAAGGGUCGGGGGCCAAUUCCUAUGUAGAACAUAAAAGAGUUUUUAACAAAAUCAAAGCAUUAUUGUGGCAUAUGCAAGAAAGUUUGGGAUCUUCAGAUAGUGGAAGUUGGGUGCACUGUGAUGGAUGGAGAGGAGUGUGAGUGCAUGCACAGGGAAUACCCAUUACUUGGUAUUUUGUCUCUUUGGAGGAAGAGGGUAGAGGACCAUGAAGAACAUUGGAAGAAGUUGUUAAAAGGGAUGUCACAGGGAAUAAUUCUCUAAGAAUUUGUUUUUUGACUGUACCCAAUGGUGUAAUCCAUAUAGUUGACAUAGUUUAAUGAAUUAAGAAUUUUGUUGUUGUUUUCAGCUUAAUAGUAUGGCAUUUUAGCAUUAUGAUAAACUGGAAAAAAAGAAUUUUAUAAUUCUUUCAUGAUGAAUCAACCAUUGAUAAAAUAUAAUUCAUUAUCUUUGAAGACUAUUUGCUUCCAUUUUUAUAAUCUAGAGCUGGAACAAGAUCCAGAUUUCAUAAUGUUGUCUCGCCAAUUCAAAGCUACUGUUAUGGAGCUUAUUUAUGUUUUGGAGCUGGUAAAGCUUUUACCUUCAGCACUUAACAUUUACUGAUAAUAUAGAAUUUUGAUUUGAGUAUUUAGCUCUAGAAAACCUAGGAUAAUAUAAAUAUUAGUUGAAUAUUACCAUUUCAGUCUAUGCUUGCCUAAAAUAUUUUGGGUUAUUCAUGUUAACUUCUGUUUUAUAGUUAUAUGUAUAAACUAUUAAUUUUAAUAUUUUGGGAUUGUCAUCUUUUUGUGUUGCAUUUGUAUUUAAUUACUAAAAAUUCCUUGCUUGUUUGUAGAAACAAAGAACUGGUUGAAGGGUUGCAAUUAAGGGUCACCUUAUGAGUGGCAAGUUUACAGGUUAAUUCUAUAUGGAUGGUACAAUUUUAAGAUUUGGGGAGUUGAAGGGACCAGGGGCAAUGAUUGAACAAGUUAAAGGGUUUUCGUAUUCAGUUUUUUCUCUUCAUGGUGCAAGCCCUUUCCUUCCAACAUCAGAUGCUGAUGUGAAGCAUAAUGAAUCAAUAACAACUACUUAGAAGAGCAAGAAGUCAUGGUGGGGAGUUUUGAAAUAUUAGUGGUAGUAGUUAUGAACAUUCUUUUAGAUAUUUUUCUCUUUUUCAUAUUUUUCUUAAUAUUUUAUAUUUUAUUGUAAAAGUUAAAUUUGAGUGUUAUGAGAUAUUAAUAUUAAGGAGUUGUAUUUAUUUCUUUGAACUCUCUUUAUAGAGUAUUCAAAUAAAAUUUUCAUGUUUUAAUUA
Molecule: long non-coding RNA, 2437 nt
Organism: Vigna angularis (adzuki bean)
Lineage: Eukaryota; Viridiplantae; Streptophyta; Magnoliopsida; Fabales; Fabaceae
Exons: 6
Source: RefSeq, a predicted model, not a curated record